AAAUCUCAACCUUCUCGGUUUUCUUCUGGACACCGAAGGAGGCUUGGACUUUGGAGGCCUUUGCUGGCGUCUCUCUCUCUUCUCGAGAGCCCAGCUCCUCUUAAAUGAAUUAGCGGGGUCCUCUUUGCCGAUCCUAGACAUGUGAUAAGAUGUUUCCAUGACUUGGUUUCUGGCUCUGUUGCCUUUGGGACCCGCUUCUAACCGUCUCGACGAGACAACGUUUGGGUGUGUCUCCCUUCUCGGGAGACUCUCUCAACCCUAAGAACC
This 267-nucleotide unclassified non-coding RNA is filed under the name Lactarius akahatsu. Its description in RNAcentral is "ITS2". Lineage: Eukaryota; Fungi; Basidiomycota; Agaricomycetes; Russulales; Russulaceae. The record is from RNAcentral.